GGGGUGGGCCCCGGACAGGUCAAGACUUUUAUCUGUUUAGGGAAAAGAAGGUCAUAGGGUGGAAGCAGAGGCACAUGGAAAGGAAAGAAUGAAGCGCUCACACCGGAAGCUUUUGAAUGGGGAGAAAAUAGGUCAACCGUGGCUGAGGGAAUCACUCCCUCCUCAAGAAUUUCAUCUCUGGGCCUGAAAUUCCACCCCGAGAGGUCCACUCAUUUGCACGUGGAAGACUUGUUAGUUUGCAGAGCUUGCACACUUGAGUACAAAUACCGUUAUCGACAGGUAAGACCUUGGUUUGACUCUGAUCAACAAAACAUUCAGACUUUGUCAGGAUGAAAUUCUAGAUUAGGAGCUGGAGAAGAGAUUCCUGGAGGAGGAAGAGAAAAAAGUGGAAAAGCAGUGAGACAGACUUACACUGUACCCACUCACUGUGUGUGCCGGGCACUUGCCGAGGUUUACGUUACGUAACCUUUGUUAUGUUGCUGGGAGGGAUGGGUUACUGAGCCCACCUGAAAGAUGAGAAGACUGGGAAUCCAAAAAGUUGACUAAAUUGCUCAGAUCGUUACAGAGUACUUACUUUACUUUAACUCUGGUUAUUUUUCUGUGUUAGUGCCUACAGAUUCACUUUCGAGUAUUUCUUCUUUUAAUCAACCCAUGUCUCUUACAUUAGAUAUUAAGUAUCUUUGGUCGUUU
This 690-nucleotide long non-coding RNA is filed under the name Vulpes vulpes (red fox). Its description in RNAcentral is "lncRNA (ENSVVUG00000027605.1)". Lineage: Eukaryota; Metazoa; Chordata; Mammalia; Carnivora; Canidae. The record is from RNAcentral.